Molecule: long non-coding RNA, 2130 nt
Organism: Cebus imitator (Panamanian white-faced capuchin)
Lineage: Eukaryota; Metazoa; Chordata; Mammalia; Primates; Cebidae
Exons: 3
Source: RefSeq, a predicted model, not a curated record
ACGCAAUGGAAUUCUACUCGUCAUUAAAAAGGAAGGAGUCACCGAUGCAGGCGGCAGCAAGGAAGAAUUCCAAAUAGCCAAGGCCACAGCCUAGAAACUUCUCUUUGGAGGCUAAGACUGCAGCACCCAGCUGAGCAGACAGGACAGUCUGAGAAGCUAAGUGGCCGGCUGGACAUUCCCCUCACAGAAGAAAGGCCAUGUGCAGAUGCAAUGAGAAGAGAGCCAUUCCAUCUACAAGCCAGGGAAGAGAGGCUUCACCAGACACCAACCCUGAAGGCACCUUGACCUUGGACGUCCAGCCUCCAGGACCGUGAAGAUAUAAAUGUCUGUGAUUUAGGCAGCCCAGUCUGUGGUAUUUUAUUACGGCAGUCCAAGCCCCAGUGAAGUAGACAGACGUGGGUUCUAAUCCCUGCUCUAUAUUCCAUGAGUUAUGCAGCCUUGGGAAAGUUACUUACCUACUCUGACCUCCAACUUCCUUAUCUGUUGAAAGGGCCGCUUCACAGGGCUGUUGUGAAGAUGGAAGGCCCCAUGGUAGGGAGCCCGAAUAGUGUCCAGCACCGAGGGCACCACAGAGGGUUCAACAACUGCGCAGGCCCUCUGAAAGACUUAUGAAAAGGAUGACCACUCUGCACUUUUGGAGGCCAAGGUGGGCAGAUCACCUGAGGUCAGGAGUUCAAGACCAGCCUGGCCAACAUGGUGAAACCCCAUCUCUACUAAAAAUACAAAAAUCAACCGGGUAUGGUGGUGGGCGCCUGUAGUCCCAGCUACUUGGGAGGCUGAGGCGGGAAGAUUGCUUGAACCCAGGAGGCCGAGGUUGCAGUGAGCUGAGAUCGCACCACUGCACUCCUGCCUGGGUGACAGAGUGAGACUCUGUCUCAAAAAAAAAAAAAAAAAAAAGAUGACCACUCUCCUCUCAAACGCUUAAUCUCUGGAGAUAGAGCAGCCCUGCAGUUAUAAUUGUGACUAAUAGGGCACCACGUGGUAUUUUUCUAAACUCUGCUUGCUGUUAGUCAUGCUCCCAGAGGAACGGUCGGCGUUAAUGCAUCCCAUGGGCAUAUUCCUUUGUGAAAUGUUUGGCUUUGCCUUGAAACCAUAUUAUGCUCCAAAGUGGAGCCACACUCUCGUGUUUGUGACUUAGUCACCAGAAGCCCUCACAACCUGAUGUUUUAGAGCACGCAUGUCCUCUCUCCAGCCUAAAACAGCCUAAGCUCUAUUCUGUCAUUGAAAACAAGAAGCCAACCUUGUCUGCCCAUUCUGUGAGGCAGAUGCUGCCAGGCUUAGUGGUAGAACCAGGGACUCCUGCUUAGUGAAGGUCUUCCUCUCAGCAGUGUGGUCCAGCAGCCAGGAACAAAAGCCUACGUGGCUUUGCAAGCAGGAGGAGAACAUUUGGGGCAUUUUCUUAUCAAAGAGCACUUUGCAGCACUGUCCAGCUCUCCUGGACUCCGUGGGGCAUGAGGCAAGGUUGGAAAUAUGGAAGACAGGGAAGGAUGCACAGGCUGGUUUGGGGUCUCUUCUCUGGGCUCCCCUGCCUCUGAGCUCUCCACCCUGCACGCCCUGCCUCCAGGCUUCUCAAGGCCUGUUCCCUGCCUCCCAGGGCAGGGCGGUUCCCCAGCAGCUGUUGAUUGGAUGUAAAUGCAAAACUCCUCUACUUCCUUCCUGUGGAGGAGCCAUCUCUUGGCCACUGGGACACAGGGAUAUUUGUUGAGUGAAGGGAACACAAUGCAGAGUCCAAAGCGAUGAUUUGGACCUGGGUUUCAGUUCUACCCACGCCCACAGUUCCCCAGUUCCCUGUUUUCUCUAGGGGAGCUCCCUGCAACUGCCGCAAUGAGACAACUGGGAAAUCCCUUUGUUGGCCGUGCACGGUGGCUCACACCUGUACUCCCAGCACUUUGGGAGGCCAAGGCAGGCGGCUUUGCGCUCAGGAGUUUGAGACAAGCCUGGGAAACACAGUGAAAUCCUGUCUCUACAAAAAAUAUAAAAAUUAGCUGGGUGUGGUGGCAUGCACCUGUGGUCCCAGCUGCUCGAAAGGCCGAGGCUGGGGGAUCGCUUGAACCUGGGAGGCAGAGGUUGCCGUGAGCCAAGAUCGCACCACCGCACUCCAGCCUGGUUGACAGAGUGAGACCCUGUCUG